UUCUUCCUUUCAACAAUCCUAUUUUGUUGGGGAGUUCUAGGAGGAAAAAAAAUAUAAGUUAUACCAUGAUGGAAGAGGCUUCGAGGAGUUGACCUUUCGGAGCGGUGUGAACACUAAUCGAAGGCCUCGAAGCUUCUCCAGAGAGAAAUGGCGCAACAGAAAUGUUGAAUAAACCUAUUGAUCGAGAGAGAAUUCGGAAGAAACUCUAAAAUCAGAGAGGAUUUGAAUCUAAGAACCCUAAAAUUAGAGAAGAACAUGAAAAUCUCUAAUCUGGACCGGUUGAACCCUAGAAAUGGGGAGAGACGCAAAAUGAACCGAUUAAUCGGUUCAAAACACAGAUUAAACGGUUGAAAUGUAUUAGAUCGGAGCAAAGGAUGGAUCAAUUGGUGGAAAACGAAGGAAAUGUUCGAACAGAUGUAGAUCGAAACGUUUAGGGUUUGAGCAAAGGAAAUCUGAGUAGAGAAAGGUGUUUCAGUGAGCAAAUGGAGAGGAAAAUGAUAAUGAAGAAGUGAAGAAGCUUACGGCUGAUGAGAGCUCUCGAGAGGAAGAUGCUCUCUUGAAGGAGACGCUAUGAAUAAAACUGAGAGAAUGAGUGAUGUGUGUCUGAAGCGCGAGAUGGAAAUUGCCUCAGCUGAUGACGCUGACACGUUGACGCAAGCGAGGUGAUAUGUGGCAGUGAAGGAGUGGCCGACGGUGGAUGAGAGAGAAGCAAGGUGGAGUAAUUGGAAAAUGAAAAAUAAGAAGUGUGCUUUGAAAGGUGGCUAGAGGUCUUUGGACUCUCUAGCCUGUGACUUUCAAGAGAGAAUAAUUUUCUGAAUUAGAAAAGUUUAUUCUCAUCAAUCUCAAAAGUGGAAAAUACAAUGAGGAGCUGGGUAUUUAUAGUGACCCAUGCUCCUUGCAAGCUACACUACAGAUACAAUAAAAUGUAAAAUUAAGAAAAAGAGGACUACGUCAGGGAGGAUUCCAUCA
Molecule: long non-coding RNA, 969 nt
Filed under: Vigna radiata
Lineage: Eukaryota; Viridiplantae; Streptophyta; Magnoliopsida; Fabales; Fabaceae
Description: long non-coding RNA (VRAD_LNC005966)
Source: RNAcentral